RNAcentral lists this ribosomal RNA (1431 nucleotides) under uncultured organism. RNAcentral describes it as "SSU rRNA". It matches the Rfam family "Bacterial small subunit ribosomal RNA". The record is from RNAcentral.
UCGACAGGCUUAACACAUGCAAGUCGAGGGGCAGCACAGGUAGCAAUACCGGGUGGCGACCGGCGCACGGGUGAGUAACGCGUAUGCAACUUACCUAUCAGAGGGGGAUAACCCGGCGAAAGUCGGACUAAUACCGCAUGAAGCAGGGGCCCCGCAUGGGGAUAUUUGCUAAAGAUUCAUCGCUGAUAGAUAGGCAUGCGUUCCAUUAGGCAGUUGGCGGGGUAACGGCCCACCAAACCGACGAUGGAUAGGGGUUCUGAGAGGAAGGUCCCCCACAUUGGUACUGAGACACGGACCAAACUCCUACGGGAGGCAGCAGUGAGGAAUAUUGGUCAAUGGCCGAGAGGCUGAACCAGCCAAGUCGCGUGAGGGAUGAAGGUUCUAUGGAUCGUAAACCUCUUUUAUAAGGGAAUAAAGUGCGGGACGUGUCCCGUUUUGUAUGUACCUUAUGAAUAAGGAUCGGCUAACUCCGUGCCAGCAGCCGCGGUAAUACGGAGGAUCCGAGCGUUAUCCGGAUUUAUUGGGUUUAAAGGGUGCGUAGGCGGCCUUUUAAGUCAGCGGUGAAAGUCUGUGGCUCAACCAUAGAAUUGCCGUUGAAACUGGGGGGCUUGAGUAUGUUUGAGGCAGGCGGAAUGCGUGGUGUAGCGGUGAAAUGCAUAGAUAUCACGCAGAACCCCGAUUGCGAAGGCAGCCUGCCAAGCCAUUACUGACGCUGAUGCACGAAAGCGUGGGGAUCAAACAGGAUUAGAUACCCUGGUAGUCCACGCAGUAAACGAUGAUCACUAGCUGUUUGCGAUACACUGUAAGCGGCACAGCGAAAGCGUUAAGUGAUCCACCUGGGGAGUACGCCGGCAACGGUGAAACUCAAAGGAAUUGACGGGGGCCCGCACAAGCGGAGGAACAUGUGGUUUAAUUCGAUGAUACGCGAGGAACCUUACCCGGGUUUGAACGCAUUCGGACCGAGGUGGAAACACCUUUUCUAGCAAUAGCCGUUUGCGAGGUGCUGCAUGGUUGUCGUCAGCUCGUGCCGUGAGGUGUCGGCUUAAGUGCCAUAACGAGCGCAACCCUUGCCACUAGUUACUAACAGGUAAAGCUGAGGACUCUGGUGGGACUGCCAGCGUAAGCUGCGAGGAAGGCGGGGAUGACGUCAAAUCAGCACGGCCCUUACAUCCGGGGCGACACACGUGUUACAAUGGCGUGGACAAAGGGAAGCCACCUGGCGACAGGGAGCGAAUCCCCAAACCACGUCUCAGUUCGGAUCGGAGUCUGCAACCCGACUCCGUGAAGCUGGAUUCGCUAGUAAUCGCGCAUCAGCCAUGGCGCGGUGAAUACGUUCCCGGGCCUUGUACACACCGCCCGUCAAGCCAUGGGAGCCGGGGGUACCUGAAGUCCGUAACCGCGAGGAUCGGCCUAGGGUAAAACUGGUGACUG